GCACACUGUUCUCGGGGUUAGUGAUCCAGCUCCCUCCCUAUUAAAAAGCUGAGGUAGCUGGUGUGCCACUAUCCUGUUUACUCAUACAAGACAGCAUCAGCUCACUGCCUAACAGGAACAUGAGAUGGGAUGGAAAUCAAAGGAUAAACAGGAUGUCUACUACAUCCUGGCCAAGCUGGUGGGCUUGAAGCUCUUUCAAGCUCCUUCAACUUGAUGAGGAAUUCCAGCUCUUCUAAGGAGCCAGAGAUCUGCUCAGUUGGUGGCUGCUGUGGACUUGCAGGCUAUGGCUCCACUCCCAGGUGUGAUACAGAGCCAGGGGAUGUCACUCAGGUGGAAGAUAAUGAGAAGACUUGUUGACCCUAACACAUUAAGGGUUUGUAGUAAAAAUCAAACUAAUACAGCUUAGAAGCUGCUGCCUGCCUGGAAAACCAGAAGCUGCAUUUGUUUGCAGAUAUCAUCUAUGGGGCCUGAGAAGACAAACCUAGAGUGGGUAUCUGCAACAGCUCAAAGAAGUGGUGAAGAAGUGUGUGGAGCUACAGGAGCAAUUUCUUAAGACUGUGAGCAUAUGCCUCUUCUCUAAACCUCUCCUGGAGUGUCCUGAAUAGGUCCAGGAAUUAUGGCUAAAGCAGGGCGUCUUACCACAGUUUAAACAUCAGGGGCUCCACCAGCACCAGCUUGAUGGAAGAAAACAGUACAUCUUUGUGGUAACUGAAGUUCAGCUUCAUUCCCAGCUACAAAUAUUGGCAGUAAGUCAAAACAGUAAAAGCCCUACUAUGCAAGUCGCUUGCUUUUUAUAUCUGACAGUUUAUGGGCAUCUGAAAUACUGCUCGUAUUUCUCACCUCUUUGGAUAAUGACAUAUUUUAUAAGUCGAUCCUAUAAUUAAACCUCUCAUAUACCCCAAUUUUGACUGUUUGUUGAGACAUCUUUCCAUAUAGCCUAGACUGCCCUCAAACUCAAGAUCCUCCCAUAUCAUCCUCCUGAGUACUAAGAUUACAGGCCUGCCUGUGUCAUCAAACCUGGCUACUGUCA
This 1030-nucleotide long non-coding RNA is filed under the name Meriones unguiculatus (Mongolian gerbil). RNAcentral describes it as "lncRNA (ENSMUGG00000022233.1)". Lineage: Eukaryota; Metazoa; Chordata; Mammalia; Rodentia; Muridae. The record is from RNAcentral.